AACCUGCCGGCUCCCAUCCCACAACGUAGAGCUACUUCCGGUGGGGCUCCGUCACUCAAAUGGAGAAGAACCAGCACCAACAUGGGAGGCUUCCCAUGUUACAUAAGGAUCAACAGGAGAAGCCGGGCAGCAGAGGCUCGUGUGAUAAGAGAGGCAGGAAGCAAGAGCUUCCAUGGGAAUGGCGUGGUUUCAUCUCCUGGAUGCAGUCAUGGCAGCUAAGACAGAAUCAUCAUUCUCAGUUGAAUAGCAUCAAAAGACCAGACCAAACACCUUUCCAGUCUAAUCUUUCUGCACAGUGGCCAACUAUAAGUUGAUGUCAGUGAGAAGGUUGAACAAAGCAACAACCUCUCAGGUUCCUGAAGUAAUGGAGUCUACAGGCAUAUUGCCUCCGGUGAAAAUAAUAUGUAUCCAUCUGGACAAGAUGCCGUGCAUUACUUUAUUUCUCAUGAAGCUUGCUAAAAUGACCUUGUGCUAAUCAAAGUCUUUUAACUUGCAUUGACAAUGCAUGAUACCAUGUGUAUUCUACUACUGGUCUCCCCCCCACCCCAAAAAUAAAUAAAUAAAUAAAUAAAUAAAAAAUAAAUAGCAAAUCUGUGCAAUUCUGCUACUGAACCACGGUGUGAUAGUGAAGGUGUUCAACUGGGCAUGUAUGCAUUCUCGACUGUAGUGGAAUAGUAGAUUGGUGUGAUAAAGUCCUUUAUCCACCCCACAAAUUUGUUGCUUUGAAAAAAUAGGAAGGAAAAAAAACAAGAUAUGAGUAACUAAACAGAAAUGACUUCAUCACUUCUUUACUGGUAUACCAAGCAUAAAGAGAGAUGUACACUCUGCAUUCUUUGAUCUGAAAACAAACCCUCGCUGUGCAAUGAAUGGGUCUUUGGACACUGUAGCUCAGCAUGGGACAUAAUCAUGUCUGAAGGAAAGAAAUAUGGGCAGGGGGGAUUGUGAAGGCAGAAACAUGGAAUUUUUUUUAUCAAACUCCUAAAAGAAGGGUAUAUCAAUUGUUUAAUGGCUGUUCUAGGGAGAUGUCUACAAUUUGAGUAAAAUCAGGAAAAUGUCUCAUUAUCUCAGAGCUUCAUUUUGUGCUUAGUUAUCCUCCUGUAAAUGUGGGUUAGUGCCAAUUAAAAAAAAGGAAUUUCCAUAUUGUAGUAGCUGGCCAAAGAAGGUAAAUUGGUCAUUCUUAAUAACAGUUCAAGCAUAAAAUUAAUACUUACAUGAAAUGCAUAUGGAGAGGUUUCUAGGGAUUUGCAUUACUAGAAGAGGCUCACAACCAAAAGUCAGCUGCAAGAUGUUACCUUGUUUAUACAGAUGUCCUCUUGGGUAGUAACCAACUAUUAAUUAGAGAUAUAAAUGCUGAUUUAUGAAAAAGGUCCUGGGUUUACCCUGCAACCUUCGUUAACUGGGAAAGUUGUACAUACUAUUUCUAUAUUGUGGCCUGAUGGCCAACCUAUGUAAUUUAAAGGAUGGAUAUUAAUGCAUUAAGUGCAUGCAGCACAUUUCAGCCACAACAGCCUGCUAAGAUUUGAGCAGUAUAAUUUAGAAUUGAUGAAGUGGACAAUACUGUAAACUUGGCUGUACUAGGUGAUUAUCCUUGGAUUCGAGUGGGGGUGUUUGUCAGCAUUAUCCUGGGGAUGUGUUUAAUGGGAGGAUACAGAGAAAAACAAACACAUUUGGUUUACUAGUAAUGGAAGGAAUUGGUUGAGGACCUCAUAAUUGCUUUUGGGAUAAUUUAUGACCAUGAUUAUACAGUCACAGCCCUAUUUUAAGCCCAAGUUAGAUGAAGUGGUGCAGAAGAGGCUGGUGUGAGAAUUCCCUGUACUAGUACAGACAUGGAAAGGUUGAAAUCCUAAAUCAAACUGUGAAUGACUUUCUAUAUCAAAGUGUGUGGAGUGUAGCUCCAUGCUCUCCAUGCAUCAUCAGUUGUCAAGCCCUGGGUGUACUGCCUCUGCAGUUAUCGAUUAAAGGGAUGAAAGUGAUGAAGGCAGCAUCCAGCUACUAAGGUGAGAGAUCUAGGUCCCCUUUAACAUGGCCUAUAUCCCCAGGAUCUGGUCCCAGAUUUGCUUUUCCCCAGAUUAACUGGCAGUGGAAACUCAUGCAAUUCAGUUCAAAGCAGAUAAUCUGGAAACAGAUCCUGGGAUAUAAGGCAGUGCAGAUCCAGAUUAGAUUUCCAGCAACCUGCUUGGAGCAAAUGUACAUUGUGCAAGGAGCUAGCAUCCAAAACAUCCAGACAUGUAGGAAGUAAUUUGCAAUAGUGUAGUGAACAGAGAGUUAGAAGUCUAACAUUAUCAUAUCAGCCUGCUCUCUUUCCACAAUCACAUUAGUGUAGGGACUGGAUACAUCAUGAUUUUAAAGCAUUCCAUAAUUCACAUCUCUCCAUUAGUGCAAAAAACUGCUUUGUAAAUCUGCCGCCCC
This is a long non-coding RNA of Anolis carolinensis (green anole), 2409 nucleotides long. NCBI's taxonomy places the organism in Eukaryota, Metazoa, Chordata, Lepidosauria, Squamata, Anolidae. The record is from Ensembl.